GAGCGGCAGCGCGGGGGCAACCCUGGCGGCGAGCGGCGGACGGGUGAGGAAUGCGUCGGAAUCUGCCUUGUUGUGGGGGAUAACGUAGGGAAACUUACGCUAAUACCGCAUAAGACCGCGAGGUGAAAGUGGGGGACCGCAAGGCCUCACGCGACAAGAUGAGCCGACGCCGGAUUAGCUAGUUGGUGGGGUAAAGGCCCACCAAGGCGACGAUCCGUAGCUGGUCUGAGAGGAUGAUCAGCCACACUGGGACUGAGACACGGCCCAGACUCCUACGGGAGGCAGCAGUGGGGAAUAUUGGACAAUGGGCGCAAGCCUGAUCCAGCCAUGCCGCGUGGGUGAAGAAGGCCUUCGGGUUGUAAAGCCCUUUUGUUGGGAAAGAAAUCCUGUCGGUUAAUACCUGGCGGGGAUGACGGUACCCAAAGAAUAAGCACCGGCUAACUUCGUGCCAGCAGCCGCGGUAAUACGAAGGGUGCUAGCGUUACUCGGAAUUACUGGGCGUAAAGCGUGCGUAGGCGGUUCGUUAAGUCUGUCGUGAAAGCCCUGGGCUCAACCUGGGGAAUUGCGAUGGAUACUG
Molecule: ribosomal RNA, 577 nt
Filed under: uncultured Dokdonella sp.
Lineage: Bacteria; Pseudomonadati; Pseudomonadota; Gammaproteobacteria; Lysobacterales; Rhodanobacteraceae
Description: bacterial SSU rRNA
Rfam family: Bacterial small subunit ribosomal RNA
Source: RNAcentral